UAGGCCCCCCAGCCAGACUGAGCUCGCACGUAAGUUUCGCCCGUUUCCGCGAGCCUGCAUCCGCGCGAGUGCCCAUGCCUGCACCCACGCGAGCGAAGAGGGCUAGGGCUUCUCUCCCUCUCGUUCACACCCAUAUCCGCGCCGCACUCCUCACCCCUCUCCUCUCUACUGCGAACGGAUCUCGCCGCCCCGUCGCCUCGCGAGCACAUCGCCGACGCGCAUCCUCUCCGCGCAGAGGAGUGAUGGUUGAGAUGGCGGCUGAUGGUGGGCAUGGCGGUGGGAAUCACCCAUUGCGCUGGACAUCUCCAAUGUCUGGGUUCAUGUUACGUCGCUUUGUAGAGCUCAUGGCUAGUGGAGUGAAGACGGAAAAGGGCUUUAAAGGAUGGAGUGCCCAUGCCCAAGGAUGGACUGCCAAAGGAUGGAGUGCCCGUGACCAGCGAUGAAGUGCCCAAGGGUGGAGUGUGAGCAAAUAUGUGCUAAUUCAACGAAGCUGACCAUAUUUUAUUGUAUUUGGUCAGAAAAACCAUGCCCCUAUAUAUGUGAAGGAAUGUAAUAUGGACCUUAUGUUAUGUUCCUUUGUUGGACUGUAAUGCACCCAAUAUGAAUUUAUGGCUAUCUAAUAUGUGAACUCUAGGAUGUGCUGGACUGUAAUAUGGAUCAUACGAAUUUGUGGCUCUAUAAUAUGUGGACUCUUAAGAUGUACUUGCACUGGA
Molecule: long non-coding RNA, 713 nt
Organism: Triticum aestivum (bread wheat)
Lineage: Eukaryota; Viridiplantae; Streptophyta; Magnoliopsida; Poales; Poaceae
Exons: 2
Source: RefSeq, a predicted model, not a curated record